UAUAGUACCGAAGUUCCUGAUUCCACACUGCCAAGAAAAGCCUCUAGCGAGGCGGGAGGGGCCCGUACCGCAAACCGACACAGGUAGGCGAGGAGAGAAUCCUAAGGUGAUCGAGAGAACUCUCGUUAAGGAACUCGGCAAAAUGACCCCGUAACUUCGGGAGAAGGGGUGCUCUGGUAGGGUGUAUAGCCCGAGAGAGCCGCAGUGAAUAGGCCCAGGCGACUGUUUAGCAAAAACACAGGUCUCUGCGAAGCCGCAAGGCGAAGUAUAGGGGCUGACGCCUGCCCGGUGCUGGAAGGUUAAGAGGAGGGGUUAUCCUUUGGGAGAAGCUCUGAAUCGAAGCCCCAGUAAACGGCGGCCGUAACUAUAACGGUCCUAAGGUAGCGAAAUUCCUUGUCGGGUAAGUUCCGACCCGCACGAAAGGCGUAACGAUCUGGGCACUGUCUCAACGAGAGACUCGGUGAAAUUAUAGUACCUGUGAAGAUGCAGGUUACCCGCGACAGGACGGAAAGACCCCGUGGAGCUUUACUGUAGCCUGAUAUUGAAUUUUGGUACAGCUUGUACAGGAUAGGUAGGAGCCUGAGAAGCCGGAGCGCUAGCUUCGGUGGAGGCGUCGGUGGGAUACUACCCUGGCUGUAUUGAAAUUCUAACCCGCGGCCCUGAUCGGGCCGGGAGACAGUGUCAGGUGGGCAGUUUGACUGGGGCGGUCGCCUCCUAAAAUGUAACGGAGGCGCCCAAAGGUUCCCUCAGAAUGGU
Molecule: ribosomal RNA, 756 nt
Filed under: Priestia megaterium
Lineage: Bacteria; Bacillati; Bacillota; Bacilli; Caryophanales; Bacillaceae
Description: bacterial LSU rRNA
Rfam family: Bacterial large subunit ribosomal RNA
Source: RNAcentral